Non-coding RNA from Hypoxylon sp. FL0543, 103 nucleotides. The record is from the annotation of a GenBank genome assembly. Lineage: Eukaryota; Fungi; Ascomycota; Sordariomycetes; Xylariales; Hypoxylaceae.
GGGCUUGUGGUUUAGUGGUAUAAUACUCCCUUAGCACGUGACGAAGCCUGCUUAAGUCCGCCUAAAAUGGGAGUGGUCCGGGGUUCGAUUCCCCGCGAGUCCA